This 77-nucleotide transfer RNA is filed under the name Candidatus Atribacteria bacterium. RNAcentral describes it as "tRNA-Arg". It matches the Rfam family "tRNA". Rfam says of the family: Transfer RNA (tRNA) molecules are approximately 80 nucleotides in length. Their secondary structure includes four short double-helical elements and three loops (D, anti-codon, and T loops). Further hydrogen bonds mediate the characteristic L-shaped molecular structure. tRNAs have two regions of fundamental functional importance: the anti-codon, which is responsible for specific mRNA codon recognition, and the 3' end, to which the tRNAs corresponding amino acid is attached (by aminoacyl-tRNA synthetases). tRNAs cope with the degeneracy of the genetic code in two manners: having more than one tRNA (with a specific anti-codon) for a particular amino acid; and 'wobble' base-pairing, i.e. permitting non-standard base-pairing at the 3rd anti-codon position. Lineage: Bacteria; Pseudomonadati; Atribacterota; Atribacteria. The record is from RNAcentral.
GCGCUCGUAGCCCAAUUGGACAGAGCUGCGGACUUCGGAUCCGAUGGUUGGGGGUUCGAGUCCCUCCGAGCGCGCCA